CCUACGGGUGGCUGCAGUGGGGAAUAUUGGACAAUGGGCGAAAGCCUGAUCCAGCCAUGCCGCGUGUGUGAAGAAGGCCUUCGGGUUGUAAAGCACUUUCAGUGGGGAAGAAAGCCUUGGGGCUAAUACCCUCGAGGAAGGACAUCACCCACAGAAGAAGCACCGGCUAACUCCGUGCCAGCAGCCGCGGUAAUACGGAGGGUGCGAGCGUUAAUCGGAAUUACUGGGCGUAAAGCGCGCGUAGGCGGUCUGAUAAGCCGGUUGUGAAAGCCCCGGGCUCAACCUGGGAACGGCAUCCGGAACUGUGAGGCUAGAGUGCAGGAGAGGAAGGUAGAAUUCCCGGGGUAGCGGUGAAAUGCGUAGAGAUCGGGAGGAAUACCAGUGGCGAAGGCGGCCUUCUGGACUGACACUGACGCUGAGGUGCGAAAGCGUGGGUAGCAAACAGGAUUAGAUACCCCUGUAGUC
RNAcentral lists this ribosomal RNA (465 nucleotides) under Vreelandella stevensii. RNAcentral describes it as "partial 16S ribosomal RNA". It matches the Rfam family "Bacterial small subunit ribosomal RNA", at positions 338 to 795 of the family's 1533-position model. The record is from RNAcentral. Lineage: Bacteria; Pseudomonadati; Pseudomonadota; Gammaproteobacteria; Oceanospirillales; Halomonadaceae.